This 460-nucleotide ribosomal RNA is filed under the name uncultured bacterium. Its description in RNAcentral is "partial 16S ribosomal RNA". It matches the Rfam family "Bacterial small subunit ribosomal RNA", at positions 338 to 795 of the family's 1533-position model. The record is from RNAcentral.
CCUACGGGAGACAGCAGUAGGGAAUCUUUCACAAUGGGCGAAAGCCUGAUGGAGCAACGCCGCGUGCAGGAUGACUGCCCUACGGGUUGUAAACUUCUUUUAUAAAGGAAUAUAGUGAGGCACGUGUGCCUUUUUGUAUGUACUUUAUGAAUAAGGAUCGGCUAACUCCGUGCCAGCAGCCGCGGUAAUACGGAGGAUCCGAGCGUUAUCCGGGUUUAUUGGGUUUAAAGGGAGCGUAUAUGGGUUGUUAAGUCAGUUGUGAAAGUUUGCGGCUCAACCGUAAAAUUGCAAUUGAUACUGGCAGUCUUGAGUACAGUUGAGGUAGGCGGAAUUCGUGGUGUAGCGGUGAAAUGCUUAGAUAUCACGAAGAACUCCGAUUGCGAAGGCAGAUUACUAAACUGCCACUGACAUUGAUGCUCGAAAGUGUGGGUAUCAAACAGGAUUAGAUACCCGAGUAGUC